RNAcentral lists this ribosomal RNA (468 nucleotides) under uncultured bacterium. RNAcentral's name for it is "partial 16S ribosomal RNA". It matches the Rfam family "Bacterial small subunit ribosomal RNA", at positions 28 to 507 of the family's 1533-position model. The record is from RNAcentral.
GACGAACGCUGGCGGCGUGCUUAACACAUGCAAGUCGAACGGAAAGGCCCUGCUUUUGUGGGGUGCUCGAGUGGCGAACGGGUGAGUAACACGUGAGUAACCUGCCCUUGACUUUGGGAUAACUUCAGGAAACUGGGGCUAAUACCGGAUAGGAGCUCCUGCUGCAUGGUGGGGGUUGGAAAGUUUCGGCGGUUGGGGAUGGACUCGCGGCUUAUCAGAUUGUUGGUGGGGUAGUGGCUUACCAAGGCUUUGACGGGUAGCCGGCCUGAGAGGGUGACCGGACACAUUGGGACUGGGAUACGGCCCAGACUCCUACGGGAGGCAGCAGUGGGGAAUAUUGCACAAUGGGCGGAAGCAUGAUGCAGCAACGCCGCGUGCGGGAUGACGGCCUUCGGGUUGGAAACCGAUUUCGCCUGUGACGAAGCGUGAGUGACGGUAAUGGGUAAAGAAGCACCGGCUAACUACGUG